AAGAGGCAAAAGAGUCAGUUGGUUCCUGGAGUUCCUCCGAGCACUUCAUUGGGGUCAUUCAGAGAAAAGUCGUCACCCUACUGAAGUGUUUGGGGGAACUCUGGUUGCCACCUGACAUUACAGUUGUAUCC
RNAcentral lists this microRNA precursor (131 nucleotides) under Citrus sinensis (sweet orange). Its description in RNAcentral is "miR395c stem-loop (csi-MIR395c)". Its record names the gene csi-MIR395c. The stretch from base 19 to 111 matches the Rfam family "mir-395 microRNA precursor family". Rfam says of the family: mir-395 was identified in both Arabidopsis thaliana and Oryza sativa computationally and was later experimentally verified. mir-395 is thought to target mRNAs coding for ATP sulphurylases. The mature sequence is excised from the 3' arm of the hairpin. Lineage: Eukaryota; Viridiplantae; Streptophyta; Magnoliopsida; Sapindales; Rutaceae. The record is from miRBase by way of RNAcentral.